CAAGAAUCAUUUGCAUUACCGUGAGCUGUUUAUAACUUCUACCCACAGAGAGCUGUAAAAUAGCCCAGCUGAUUGAAGUCAGCCAAAGGUACUCAUCUUGGUAAGAGUAGGUAAUCCCUGGAGAUCCACGGGAUAAUACACAGUACUCCAGGGAGAGGACACCCAGUGCUUGGCUUUGUUUGUUUCCAAGUCUUUGUCAGUUUUUGCUGACACCACAAACCCUCCUCUGGUUUCCCUGGUGACAGGGCCGCCUGACUCUCUCCCUUCUGUUUCUCGUCUGUCCUUACGGCAUAAGCUCCAUGUCCAUCUUCCCUCUGGGCUCUUCCCUUUGGUUCCAAAGAGCUUAUUGUAGAAGUUAAAAAAAAAAAAAAACAUACAGUAAAGAGAUUAGCAUAAUCCUAAUUAUCCUCUAGGCAAUGCAGAAAAGAAAAAAACAUAAGGAUAAACAUAUUGAGAUUUGCUCUUGCUCCAGCACAAUUCCCUGAAAGACUUCUUCUAAGCCUGGUAUCCUGGGAGUGGCAGUGUUUUCAGCGUGGCAGACGGAGCAGUCAGGAAGCUGGGAGCCCAAACAGCAUGAGACAAAGCCGCGAAACAGAGGCCGUGCAUCUGUCGGUUGCCUCUCUCUGGUCACCCUCCUCUAGCCACAUAGUGCCGGUGCUAUGUGCCAGACAUACUCCAAUGAACAAGAUCCCUAGAGUAUCUGCUCUACUUUGGCUUAAAUCCUCAGGGAAGGGGCAGAACUAAAGAUGGAGCCCAUUCCUGAUGGGCUGUGGGCCGCCUAUGGAGAAAGUGCUCCAGGUGCCUGUGGUCCAUAGAGUGGAGUGAGUCUCUAAGCAAAUCUGGAGGGACUCUGGGAGCUGAAGAUUCAGAAUAUCUCCACUUAUUCUUGCCGCAGCCUUUGCUGCUCAACUGUUGGGUGCCAUGAUCGUAUGAGCUGCUCCCUUCCUCAGCCUUUCCUGGCUCCUUCCAUGAGCCCACUGAUCUGUGGCAGCAUUUUAACAGCCUUGGUCCAUCUAUUUGUAGAGAUGUUAGCAUGAGACACACAAGGAUCUGGAAACUUUGAAGGAGACUGAUACCACAAUGCAGGAACCCUGUAAGGAUUCCAGGGAGGUAACACACACCAAGGGAUCGGCAUUUAAAUUAUCACUCUUCCUCUUCUUUUUCUCAAUCAAUGAGAUUUGUAGACAUUUUCUCAUUUUAAAUAUUUAUAUAUAUUGAUAGGGCACAAUGGCCCCAUGAGUUUGAUAUUAUAAUCCCCUGCCCUCUUUUUUCUAGUAAUGCAUCGGAGCAUCAGACUUUAAGUCAAUGAUUUGAACCCAGUUCUUCUUGGCUUCAAAGCCUUGGGGCACAAUCACUCCAUUGGACCACUAGGUACCUGCAACUCUCUGCUUUGGACUUCUCCUGAGCUGCAAACCCAGGUAUUAUUAGAGCACCAUCAGUGAUAGAUUUUCAUGUAUAUGCAUGUGUUUCUACCCAGCAGUGCAAUUAAUGAGCCCUUAAGGGUAUGUGUGUAGAUGACAUGUUCUUUACUCCCUAGGAACAAUGUAGAAAGC
Molecule: long non-coding RNA, 1553 nt
Organism: Macaca mulatta (Rhesus monkey)
Lineage: Eukaryota; Metazoa; Chordata; Mammalia; Primates; Cercopithecidae
Source: Ensembl